Long non-coding RNA from Trichosurus vulpecula (common brushtail), 1336 nucleotides. RefSeq lists it as uncharacterized. Lineage: Eukaryota; Metazoa; Chordata; Mammalia; Diprotodontia; Phalangeridae. The record is from RefSeq and is a predicted model, not a curated record. The transcript has 2 exons.
UUUUAAGUGCUUACUAUGUGCCAGGCCCUGAGCAAAGAAAGCACUAGGGAUACAAAUUCAAGCAAAAAGAGAAGCCCUGUCUUCAGAGAACUCACAUUCUAACGGGAAAAACAACACAUAAAAGGAAGCUGAAAAGCAAGAAGGAAAGGGGCAUAGGAAAAGGAAGCGGUGGAGUCCGGAGAAUGAAGGAUGGCUGAUUCAAUACUAUCUCGGGUGGCACUGGAGAGGGUUUGCACCUUCCUGUUGGUGCUCCUCUUUGAAGGUUCUUUGGACGAAGUUGCUCUUUCCCCUGAAGCUCUAUCCAGGCAUCACUGGUUACACUGGUCAGGUCUGGGAGACCUCUGCUCUACUUCCUGUGGCUUAGUUUCAGAGUUCUGCUGCCCACCUGCACUUUACAUUUGCCAGCUCUCCUGCUGCCCCACUCCGAGGACUUCUUGGACUGCUACGCAAAUCUGCCCUCCCCUUUAAACUAUUCAAAUGAGUUUGUCUUCAAUCCCCACCCAGAGUUAUAGAGAGACUAUAAUGUUGGCUUCCCCCCUUUCAUCAGGACAUUGUCACUUUUUAACUCAUAUUAACUAAACUUCCCCUCAAUAUACCACAGAGCCUGGAAGAAUAUGCUCACUCUCUCCCAGAUUCCUCUUCCUUCUCUAUCUUCCCUCAGGGAAAUUAGGUUAUUCAAAUUACCUUUGGGCUGCUUUGUGAAAAAACUCUAAAAGGAAGGCUGUAAAAGGGAAGAGUCAGUAGCUCCCACCUUGGGUACUACAUGGAGAGAAGAUCCGUAAUCCUUACUAUAGAAUUAUUACUAUUAUUAUUAUAAAGAGGGGAGUAUUUGUCAUAGGUAGAUAUAAAAAUUUAUCUACAAGCACAGAUCCCUCAUGUUUUUCUCUUCUGGCAACAGGUCUUCCUUCCCCUUCUACACCUACUCCUUUGGGCUUGAGUCUAUAUCUAUCCUGAGACCAGUUUUCACCAAGUAUAGACAGGAACACUUUGGGUUGUGGGGAGAGGAAUGGGCUCCCAAACCAAGGUAACAGCCUCAGUGUCAGAAAAGGGACCCUAUUCUCCAGAAUCUGAGCAAAUCAUUAAGUUCAAACUUCCAUCCCUUCAAAGUAUCAUCUUGAUUCAAGAUUCUACUCAGGUACCACUUCCUUCAUGAAGUUGUCCUUUGUUCCUCAAAAAAGAAAAAAAGAGAAGCAAUCCAUCUCUCCUUCCUUAAAUUUUCCUAAAAUAAUAUGACUAGAUCUACCUUGUCUGACAUUCUAUCUUAAUUUAUACUGAUUUAAAUGUAUGAUCUAUCCUACCUAUUAAACUAUAAACUCUCUGAGGUUGGAAACUGCCA